GAAGCAAGCUAAGACAUGGAAUGUGUAGAAGUGAAACAAUGGAUUGAACCAUCGACUCCCGGUGCAUAGAAACCAAUCACAACAAACCCGAAUAUUUCAGCGGCAAAAACAAAAGGGAGGAAUUAGCAAUAACUGUUUAACAAUAAAAUCCAACCAGCGAGAUGGCCACUGGAGAUCUGAAAGGAUGUCUAAGAAAGCUGGAAGCCUCUCUCCGUUCUCUAAAGUAUCCCAGAGAUGUGGACUAUCAAAGAUUGGCUGUGGGAGAUCCAUCAGCAUGUCUUCCCAUUGUGAGCUAUGCCUUCACGUCCUUUUCCCCCUCACUCACAGAACACCUGGUCGAUUAUGGGGUGGAACUAACCGGAAUGAAUGACUUACGAUUUAUUGAGAAUGUUUACAAGGUCUUACGGGAUGUUUUCAGCUAUAAGCCAUUGUUGACCAAACAGCAGUUUCUUCAGUUUGGCUUUGCUGAGAGGAAAGUCACCAUUCUCUGUGAUAUCGUUGGCCUUGUUCUCAACAAGCACAAAGAACUCACUAAAGAAACCAAGCAUGUCAGUAAACCAAAGAGAAGGCCUCAGUUGAAGAGCUGCAUUAAAAAUGAGAUCCCUUCUGCUGAGAGUAACUCACUUGUGUUAACAUCCCUGACAGUUCCUCAGAAUCAGCCACUGGUAGAAAGGCAUCUUGGCAGCAGCUCAGCACCAGCUCAGAUCAUACGCUCCUCAGAUGAGCAGCCACAGCAGGAAGAGGAAACACAAAAGAGGGAGUUAGACAGUGAGCAUAUAGAGGAUUCGCCUCAACCUACAGAUUCCACUGUGAGAAUGCGCAUCCUGCAACACAUGUACACACAGGGAGGAGUGUGUGUUAGAGAGCCGGCUGAGGGGCGUGGAGGUACGUCUUCUGGAGAGUGUUGGCAGACUGGAGCAGCGAUUGGCCCUCAUGGAACACAGGAUACAUGCACUGGAAAAAAGCUUGGCUGGCAAGAUUAUCAUCGAGAGGAACCAGUGGGAGAACUUGGAGAGUCGUGUGCUGCUGCUGGAGACCAGGCUGGCACUGACCUCAGCACAGAGUCUAACUUCACAAGAUGGGGUAUUCAACUCAGGCAACGUUGAAUCUAAAGAGAACACAGUAUCUGCAAGUGGCUUUUCUACUGUGAUUCAACAACCAUCUGACAUCAGUGAUAAUGGGCAUAUUCUAGCCAGUUCUUCUCCCACAGCUACCCAGAAUUUUAAAGAAAGGCUGGACAGAAUAGUUUACAUGAUGAAGGAUACAUCUAACAUUCUGCAAAAUAUAGAGCCGACAAUACAAAUUUGAUCUCAGCUCAAGUUUAAUAAAAUAAAUAAAAAU
Megalobrama amblycephala (Wuchang bream) is the source of this 1341-nucleotide RNA transcript. It is a transcript of the gene named centrosomal protein 44, with no coding region annotated. The record is from RefSeq and is a predicted model, not a curated record. The transcript is spliced from 11 exons. Lineage: Eukaryota; Metazoa; Chordata; Actinopteri; Cypriniformes; Xenocyprididae.